RNAcentral lists this ribosomal RNA (406 nucleotides) under uncultured bacterium. Its description in RNAcentral is "partial 16S ribosomal RNA". It matches the Rfam family "Bacterial small subunit ribosomal RNA", at positions 30 to 526 of the family's 1533-position model. The record is from RNAcentral.
AUUGAACGCUGGCGGCAGGCCUAACACAUGCAAGUCGAGCGAGCGGCGGACGGGUGAGUAAUGUAUGGGGAUCUGCCCGAUGGAGGGGGAUAACUACUGGAAACGGUAGCUAAUACCGCAUACUAUCGGAUGUACCCAUAUGGGAUUAGCUAGUAGGUGGGGUAAAGGCUCACCUAGGCGACGAUCCCUAGCUGGUCUGAGAGGAUGACCAGCCACACUGGGACUGAGACACGGCCCAGACUCCUACGGGAGGCAGCAGUGGGGAAUCUUCGGCAAUGGGCGAAAGUCUGACCGAGCAAUGCCGCGUGAGUGAAGAAGGUUUUCGGGUCGUAAAGCUCUGUUGGUAGGGAAGCGGUAUCUGAACAGAAAGCCACGGCUAACUACGUGCCAGCAGCCGCGGUAAUAC